AUGAAGCAAAAGAUUGUCAUCCAGUUGAGCAUGUCGUGCGACAAACGCCGGUCCAAAGCACUGACGCUUGCCGCGAGAGCUGCCGGGGUGACGUCCAUGGGGAUAACCGGCGACGCGAGGGACCAGCUGGAGGUGGUCGGCGACGGCGUCGACUCGGUGUGCCUCGUCAGCUGCCUCCGCAAGAAGCUCGGCCACGCCCAAAUCAUCAAGGUGGAGGAAGUGAAGAAGCCGGAGGAGAAGAAGAAGGAUGAGCCGAAGCCAGAGCCCGUGCACCCGCCGCCCUACUUCUUCUACCCGCCCAGCUGCUCCUACUACCCCCACCAGUACCCGCUCUACUUCUGA
Molecule: ribosomal RNA, 342 nt
Filed under: Triticum aestivum (bread wheat)
Lineage: Eukaryota; Viridiplantae; Streptophyta; Magnoliopsida; Poales; Poaceae
Description: partial small subunit ribosomal RNA
Source: RNAcentral